Molecule: RNA transcript, 1136 nt
Organism: Danio aesculapii
Lineage: Eukaryota; Metazoa; Chordata; Actinopteri; Cypriniformes; Danionidae
Gene name: sialoadhesin
Exons: 4
Source: RefSeq, a predicted model, not a curated record
UAAAACCAGACAAGGUUUGACAGCAUUACCGCUCAGUAUGAGCAAGUACUUGAGGCAACAAAAAUGUCUGCGAUUCUUCUAGCAGAAGUUUGGAUCCUGACAUCUCUACUUCUCUCAGGCAUUUUUGCUGCUGACUGGAUAGUGGAAGUUCCUAGUGAUCCAGUUUACUCUCCUCUCGGCUCUUCUGUAGUCCUCCAAUGCACGUAUGACUAUCCUGAAGACUCCGAGCAGGGAAAACCACACCGAGUGCUGUCAGAAAUGUGGUGUUUGAAUCAAAGCCGCUGCAUUACGCAGAGAUAUGUGUACCACAGUGCAGGAAUAUUCCCUGAGCCCUCAUACCAGGGCCGCAUCAAGUACUUUGGGCAGACGGGCAGCAAAAACUGCUCUCUGAUGAUCUCUGAUCUUAGGUCAGCGGACAGCGGCGUGUAUGUGUUUCGCUUUAUCACUGACCACCAAAAGGCCAAACUGCCAGGACAGAGAGGAGUGAAUCUGCAGGUUACACAGCUGAUGACAGAUACAAUCUAUAAGAAUAACAUCGUCCUGUAAUUUCUUCACAGCAAAAAGCGCAUCUUCAUCCACUGUUGGCAUUGUGUUUGGAGUUAUUGUCAUUCUUAUAAUAAUAGCAUGCGUUUUACUAUUCAUCAGAAAUAAAUCACGGAGCCAGAGGUCAAGAUCACUUUGAACAAGGAAUUGAUGCUGUAUUACGACAGUACCACAGAGGAUGGGGAAAAAACUGGUCACUGUGAUAAGAAAUGAUGCUUCUGCUUUUUACAGUUUGCAGCAACCUUUACAUCCUUUGAAGACACUUUUUGUCAGAUAUUUAUCUAUUUAUAUUAUUUUCUGCACAUCAAACUGCUUAAUGUUGUUGUCUACUGUAUAUCGCAUUGUAUUUAAUAUUUUGCAUGACUGCUGUGUUGCUGUAUGGGUGAACGCGCUGACCUCUGCCAAUGGAUCAACAUUAGUGGUCUUCAGAGAGUCUUUGAAAAGAAUUAAUUAAUUAAUUAAUUACUGCUACAAAGUUUUAUUCAAUAUUGUGGAUGCCUAAUGUACAUUGUACAGAAUUGUGCUGUCAUCUAUGAACUAUUAUUUCAAUAUAAAAGCAAUUGGUAUUAUUAAAGAAACAAUUCACCGCAAAA